This 211-nucleotide long non-coding RNA is filed under the name Elaeis guineensis (African oil palm). RNAcentral describes it as "long non-coding RNA (EGUI_LNC082609)". Lineage: Eukaryota; Viridiplantae; Streptophyta; Magnoliopsida; Arecales; Arecaceae. The record is from RNAcentral.
UAGAGUGGUUAUACCUUUUCGAUGCAAUCAAACCACUAUAACCAAUUGAGAAUAAUCAAUGCUAGGAAGGCACUCGCAUCUUUAUAAUAAUAGAAGACUUUUAGACUUAAUAUUUAGUGAAAAGAUUCAAGUUUAGAUUUCUUCUAAAUUAGUAGAUCUGACAUCUGACUGAUCAAAUUUAGGUCAGCACAUCAACAUAUCUAACCAGCCU